UUACCAUGCAAGUCGAGCGGAGUUGUGGUGCUUGCACCAUAACUUAGCGGCGGACGGGUGAGUAAUGCUUAGGAAUCUGCCUAUUAGUGGGGGACAACAUCUCGAAAGGGAUGCUAAUACCGCAUACGCCCUACGGGGGAAAGCAGGGGAUCUUCGGACCUUGCGCUAAUAGAUGAGCCUAAGUCGGAUUAGCUAGUUGGUGGGGUAAAGGCCUACCAAGGCGACGAUCUGUAGCGGGUCUGAGAGGAUGAUCCGCCACACUGGGACUGAGACACGGCCCAGACUCCUACGGGAGGCAGCAGUGGGGAAUAUUGGACAAUGGGGGGAACCCUGAUCCAGCCAUGCCGCGUGUGUGAAGAAGGCCUUUUGGUUGUAAAGCACUUUAAGCGAGGAGGAGGCUACUCUAGUUAAUACCUAGGGAUAGUGGACGUUACUCGCAGAAUAAGCACCGGCUAACUCUGUGCCAGCAGCCGCGGUAAUACAGAGGGUGCGAGCGUUAAUCGGAUUUACUGGGCGUAAAGCGUGCGUAGGCGGCUUUUUAAGUCGGAUGUGAAAUCCCUGAGCUUAACUUAGGAAUUGCAUUCGAUACUGGGAAGCUAGAGUAUGGGAGAGGAUGGUAGAAUUCCAGGUGUAGCGGUGAAAUGCGUAGAGAUCUGGAGGAAUACCGAUGGCGAAGGCAGCCAUCUGGCCUAAUACUGACGCUGAGGUACGAAAGCAUGGGGAGCAAACAGGAUUAGA
This 738-nucleotide ribosomal RNA is filed under the name uncultured bacterium. Its description in RNAcentral is "bacterial SSU rRNA". It matches the Rfam family "Bacterial small subunit ribosomal RNA", at positions 49 to 782 of the family's 1533-position model. The record is from RNAcentral.